RNAcentral lists this ribosomal RNA (154 nucleotides) under Russula betularum. Its description in RNAcentral is "5.8S ribosomal RNA". It matches the Rfam family "5.8S ribosomal RNA". From Rfam's summary of the family: 5.8S ribosomal RNA (5.8S rRNA) is a component of the large subunit of the eukaryotic ribosome. It is transcribed by RNA polymerase I as part of the 45S precursor that also contains 18S and 28S rRNA. Functionally, it is thought that 5.8S rRNA may be involved in ribosome translocation. Lineage: Eukaryota; Fungi; Basidiomycota; Agaricomycetes; Russulales; Russulaceae. The record is from RNAcentral. RNAcentral also lists the same sequence under 5 other names.
AACUUUCAACAACGGAUCUCUUGGCUCUCGCAUCGAUGAAGAACGCAGCGAAAUGCGAUACGUAAUGUGAAUUGCAGAAUUCAGUGAAUCAUCGAAUCUUUGAACGCACCUUGCGCCCCUUGGCAUUCCGAGGGGCACACCCGUUUGAGUGUCG